CUCCUCUACUGGGACACUGAUUUACCCUUUGUAAUUCUCUGUUGAUGUAAGUGGGUGGUGAGGCUCCCCAUCAAGGACGACUUGGCUGUGACCCGGAUCUAGCGAUGCAGGUGUAACCCUUACUGUAAGGUCCACCUUAAUGUAGGCACUGUAUAUCCCCAUGCUGUCUAGUUGUUUGUUUAGGGUAUUUUAUGGCAUACUCCCAAAAAUAAAGUAAAAUUCUUUUUAGAUGGACCACACCACAUGAACCAGGGAUUAUUGACCAUUAAAAGUCUUUUGUGUGCCACAAAAGUUUUGGAUCAAGCUGGUAUUUAAUUUUCCCUUUUAUCCAUAUCAGUUUGACGUUAUCAACCGGUUAGAUGGUUAAAAAACAUUACUGUAGGCCCUAGGACAUUUUAAUGGUAUGCAUUCAGCAAACACCACUUACAGUGGUGUAGUUCACUUUGAAAUUUAGUUCUCCAUCACAUUGGAAACGCAUUAAAAUAAGCUGGAAAAACGGAUAGAUUACGUAGGUAUACAUUGUAUACAUUAAGAUGGGAUGGGCCCCACAGUCAGGGGUCACACUCACAACACUUAUUAUGGGGAACGGAUUGUCUGCGACCCAGGGAUAGAGAUGGAGCUGUGUGGGGUCCACAUAAAUGUGGGUGAAAAAUCCAUUUUGUUCAUUUGUUUUGAAAUGCCACGGUAGAGUUUUGUAUGAAGAUGAUAUUUGCACCAAUGGUCGAUCUGAGUGUUAAAGAUUCUAUGAACGGUUUGGAUGGCUUAUGAAUAACAUGGUCGGCUCCGCCAUGGCUUCAAUGGGGUA
Magnolia sinica is the source of this 805-nucleotide long non-coding RNA. RefSeq lists it as uncharacterized. The transcript is spliced from 2 exons. The record is from RefSeq and is a predicted model, not a curated record. Lineage: Eukaryota; Viridiplantae; Streptophyta; Magnoliopsida; Magnoliales; Magnoliaceae.